AUGCGUGUCUGGAAGACAGGCCACAGGAAAGAGGAAGAGUAUUUUUCUGGGCUACUGCUGAGUCAGAAAAACUUAGCUCCCAAAUGGACUGUACCAAGAGGUCUUACCUGGCUGGAAACUGAUUCACAGCACAGCAAAGAGGCCGUAGCUAUCGCUCUUGAGUGCUGCCUGGAUCGUGUUACUGGAGUCAAGUGUGAGAAACUCAUAAAAGAUGCAGCAGCUUCUGGGUGCAUGAAAGCCCCUGCUGUGACACCUUCUCGUGCUCCCCGAAGGGCAUCUUUUAUCCGGACAUUAUACAAAGGAAAGAAGAGAGCUAUAUGUGACUUCGGGCAACUGUAUCAGUCUGGGCAGGAAACAGCUGCCAUUGUCAAAUCCGGUCAUUGAAAACAGUUUGCAAAAAGAGGCCAUUCCCAAAG
Molecule: long non-coding RNA, 416 nt
Filed under: Sus scrofa (pig)
Lineage: Eukaryota; Metazoa; Chordata; Mammalia; Artiodactyla; Suidae
Description: lncRNA (ENSSSCG00070015819.1)
Source: RNAcentral